Molecule: ribosomal RNA, 429 nt
Filed under: uncultured Cupriavidus sp.
Lineage: Bacteria; Pseudomonadati; Pseudomonadota; Betaproteobacteria; Burkholderiales; Burkholderiaceae
Description: bacterial SSU rRNA
Rfam family: Bacterial small subunit ribosomal RNA
Source: RNAcentral
UGGGGAAUUUUGGACAAUGGGGGCAACCCUGAUUCAGCAAUGCCGCGUGUGUGAAGAAGGCCUUCGGGUUGUAAAGCACUUUUGUCCGGAAAGAAAUUGCUCUGGCUAAUACCUGGGGUAGAUGACGGUACCGGAAGAAUAAGCACCGGCUAACUACGUGCCAGCAGCCGCGGUAAUACGUAGGGUGCGAGCGUUAAUCGGAAUUACUGGGCGUAAAGCGUGCGCAGGCGGUUUUGUAAGACAGGCGUGAAAUCCCCGGGCUCAACCUGGGAAUUGCGCUUGUGACUGCAAGGCUAGAGUGCGUCAGAGGGGGGUAGAAUUCCACGUGUAGCAGUGAAAUGCGUAGAGAUGUGGAGGAAUACCGAUGGCGAAGGCAGCCCCCUGGGACGUGACUGACGCUCAUGCACGAAAGCGUGGGGAGCAAACAGG